This 831-nucleotide long non-coding RNA is filed under the name Prunus persica (peach). RNAcentral's name for it is "long non-coding RNA (PPER_LNC002492)". The record is from RNAcentral. Lineage: Eukaryota; Viridiplantae; Streptophyta; Magnoliopsida; Rosales; Rosaceae.
UUGUUUGCAGGGGUCAACGUCUUACAGGUGCGACUCAUUGCCCCCAUGUCUGUGUUGGCGGAGCUAUUUUUAGAUCGAUAGAAAAUAGGAAUGAAGAUGCCAUUUUAUUUCUGAGUUUGAAGAGAUAGGUUUAAAUCGAGAGAAAUGGAAAGGAAGAAAAUUGGUGGAGCUAUGGUUUUUCUCCCAUUGUUUUCUUUUAUAGACGUCGAUUAUGACCCUCGAGCUUCACAUUGUGGCAUUGUGGCUUUCCGUCUCUGUAAUUUCCACUUCGUGUUUUCUGACUUUCCACCUUCAGCUACACACCCAUGACUUUCUCUGUCUUUUAAAAUUUCUGGAUUUGUGUGCUUGCUUGUUUAAUGAAAAUGAACAUACUUUUAAUUACCUGAAAAAUAAAUGAACAUAUUUUUGAGUUAGAGACUUAGACCAGCCCGUUUGACCCCAAAAAAAAAAAAAAAAAAGACUUGGACCAACCCGUGGUCCGUGCAUUUGGCCUACUUUUCUUUAUUAUUUUUUUAGUUUUUUGUUGCUACAAUUACAUGCCCCUCACUUUGGGCUUAGCAUUGCAUCAGUAUCUUGCGUACCAUUUUUAUUAUUUAAGUUUUUGUUUAGUCCAGUACAUGCCCAUCACUUUGUGCUUAGUCUAGGACUUGGUUCGAGAGCUCCUUCGCAUUGACAGCAGCCACAUCAUCAAGCUCACGACCUCCAGCCACAAGCAGCAGCUGCUGCUUUCCACCACCACCACCACCAAAUGAGACAUUCUUCUUCUUCUUCUUCCUUCUCAUCCCUCCUCUCCAUCUCCCAGCCUCGAAAGCCCAGCACUUAUAGUCCCAC